CUAUGCCCAAAGAACCUGCCGCCCGGAAGCAACAACUUCCAUCAAACGGCAAAGAAAAGUUCCUAGGGAGAGAGCUUAGCGCCCAAGCAGCCUGCGCUAGUGCCGAGACAGAACAGGAGAGCAGCAGACAGUGCAGGCCGGGCCAGCCUGCAGGCGGUGGCUGCGGCGGCGCUGGUAGGGCAGACCCGGGCUCCGGAAGGCUCCAGGUCCGGGGGUGGCCGCCGGCCUUGGGCACAGUGCCGGCUUUCGCACCCCUCCCCACGACCGCGAGCAGUGGGCGGAGAGAUUAGAGCAAAGGAAAAGACGGACAAUGCCUGGCCGGGCCGGCGACCUCCGUGCGGCCCCCGCCGGCCCGUCCCUACUCGGGCGGCCAGCUACCGGGCUAAGUUUCCUAAGCCCUGCCUCCAGCCCCGGCGGCGAAAGCUCGGCCGCCGCCUUCCUCCCAGCCGGGCGGUUCCCGCGAGUCUGCGAGGAGGAGGCAGCGUGCGAGCCGAGCCGGGCGCGCAAGGAGGCGGCGCGCGAGGUAAGCGGACGCGCGGGGAGCCGGCGGCGCGCGCCGAAUGAGGCCGGGCGCGCGCGGGGGGACCCGGCACGAAGAGGAAGGAGCGCGGUGGGGAGUUGGGAGCGCGGGGCUCCCCCGGGACCCCCCGCAGCUCCGACGGGGUUUCAGUUGACUCGGACUGCACCGCAGCGAGAGUCCGUUAGGAGUCUCCGCCUGGGCGCGCAGCUGGCCGACCAUCCCGGCCCGCCUCCCCCUCGCUCCCACCAGGAAGGGCAGCCGGGCGAGAGCCAGUGACCUCUCCUCCCGCCAGUGACAGGAACAAGUCUGGCACCAUCAAAGAAGAGCAGAAAUCCAAGUUGCCAAGUCAGAGUGAAGAAGAGAGAGAAGGACAAGUAUGAGCUAAAAAUGAAACUGUCAUAAGAAAGAAAAGGGGAUGGCUAUUCAGAGACUUUCUUUUCAAAUAUUCGUUGCAGAGAAAAGAUUCCCUACAACAGAGAGUCACCUAGACAUGAAAGAAAUUCUGCUUCUACAACAAUUGACAAAAAGUAGACAGAUUCAUGUUUGACCACACUGGAUACUGGAUCAAGAUGCUGGAGAUAGACCUGAGAUUAAAGAACAAAGAAAUCUUAUCCACUAAACAGUAUUGAUUAGAACCAAAAUAUUUUGUCAUUGGAGGCCUUAUGUUACCCUUAAAAAUAAACUUUCGGAUAUUUUGGAUUUUUUUUUUUUGGCUUUUUGUGUGUGUGUGUGUGUGUGUGUGUGUGUGUGUGUGUGUGUUACUGGAAACUGAACCCAGGUGCACUCUACCACUGAGCUACAUCCCUAGAUUUUUCAUUCUUAAAUGGCCUUGCUAACUUGCACAAGCUGGCCUUGAAAUUGUAAUCCACCUGCCUUAACCUUCUGAGUAGCUCAUUACAGACAUUUACCACUGCUUCCAGCUUG
Molecule: long non-coding RNA, 1444 nt
Filed under: Heterocephalus glaber (naked mole-rat)
Lineage: Eukaryota; Metazoa; Chordata; Mammalia; Rodentia; Bathyergidae
Description: lncRNA (ENSHGLG00100040046.1)
Source: RNAcentral